This 774-nucleotide ribosomal RNA is filed under the name uncultured Neocallimastigales. RNAcentral's name for it is "partial large subunit ribosomal RNA". It matches the Rfam family "Eukaryotic large subunit ribosomal RNA", at positions 22 to 647 of the family's 3401-position model. The record is from RNAcentral. Lineage: Eukaryota; Fungi; Neocallimastigomycota; Neocallimastigomycetes; Neocallimastigales.
GUACACGCUGUGACUAGCAUAUCAAUAAGCGGAGGAAAAGAAACUAACAAGGAUUCCCCUAGUAACGGCGAGUGAAGCGGGAAGAGCUCAAAUUUGAAAUCUUAAAGGGUUUCCCUUUACGAAUUGUAGUUUAAAGAAGUGUUUUCUGUUGAGGUCUUGGUAAAAGUUCUUUGGAAUAGGACAUCAUAGAGGGUGAGAAUCCCGUAUUUGACCUUUACUUUCAACUUUGUGAUACACCUUCAAAGAGUCGGAUUGCUUGGGAAUGCAGUCCAAAAUGGGUGGUAAAUUUCAUCUAAAGCUAAAUAUUGGCGAGAGACCGAUAGCGAACAAGUACCGUGAGGGAAAGAUGAAAAGAACUUUGAAAAGAGAGUUAAACAGUACGUGAAAUUGUCAAAAGGGAAGCGUUUGACACCAGUGUUGUUUUUCUGAAAAUCAAUUAAAGAACUGUUUAUGCUAAGCUGUUUAGACUUUAUCAGCUAUCUGUUUAGUUUUGAGCUUUUCUUUAAUGCACUUUUCAGUUAACAAGUCAACAUCAAUUUCUUUUGCUGUAAAAAAGCUUGAGGAAGGUGGCUUGAGAUUCGUCUUAAGUGUUUAUAGCCUCUUGCCUAUGCAGUCGGAGAGAUUGAGGUCUGCAGCGUAGAUCCUUCGGGGCUAAAUGCAUUUGUGCUAAGUUAUAGCAUUUUAUAGACAACUUGUUGACUAUGAUUUGUCUUGUAGCUUACUCGCUUAUGUUAUUUUACCUACGCUUAGGAUGUUGACGCAUGAGAUAUACGC